GUCUAUGGCCAUGCCAGCCUGAACAUGUCCAAUCUCAUCUGAUCUCAGGAGCUAAGCAGGGUUGGGCCUGGUUAGUACUUGGAUGGGAGAUCAUCUAGAAAAUCCAGGUGCUAUAGGCA
RNAcentral lists this ribosomal RNA (119 nucleotides) under Pteropus alecto (black flying fox). The record is from RNAcentral. Lineage: Eukaryota; Metazoa; Chordata; Mammalia; Chiroptera; Pteropodidae.